Molecule: long non-coding RNA, 401 nt
Organism: Dipodomys spectabilis (banner-tailed kangaroo rat)
Lineage: Eukaryota; Metazoa; Chordata; Mammalia; Rodentia; Heteromyidae
Exons: 3
Source: RefSeq, a predicted model, not a curated record
AGGUUGCUGGACUAGUCUGGUUCCUUUCAGGUCUUGGGCUGAAUUUUCUCCUUGUGGAGGCUGCCUGAGCAGAGAGUGUGGAAGGCUAUGUACCUGGUUUGGAUUUUUCAGCGAGUCCUGACAAUGUAACAAUUUGUAAAGUGCUCUUGUCUAAAAUUGGAUAAAAUUCAGGCCAGUUUAGUUUUAGGUGACCCCUUCAACCAGCCCUUCUCCAACAGGUGGGAUUCAAAAGAUCCGUUGAUGAAUUGCCUUGCUAAACAAGCGAGCCCUGGGAAAAUGAAGCUUAACAAAGGUGAAAAUCAUCUGUAAAGUUUGCUGGCACUCAUCCCAGUUGUGCAUGUGUGUGAAAAUUACUGUCUCUAAUGAGUGCUGUGGCGUCAAUUCAGAGCCUGGGAACUGGU